UUUUGGAGUUUCUGAAACUAGGGUUUUUUUUUUUUUUUUUCAUGGGAUGCUUGUGGUUCAAUUUUAGUAAGAUUUUUGGUCUAUUUACUUGAUUUUGUUUGUUUUGUUUUGGGGUUUGCUACAGGGAGAUUUAAUAUUUGUGGUUUCUAAAGCUAAUUGGAACAAAACUAGGGUUGUUUUGAGCUUGGUUUUGGAUUUUUUGGGUAUCCCUUGAAGCUUUGGAAUGGUUUGACUUUGUGGGUAUUUAGCAGAAGUACAUAUAUUUCGUUUGAUGAAGUUGUAUUUGAGAUACAAGGAGUUGGAAAGUUGUAUUUGAGCUUUGUUUUGAAAUUCUGCGAAAUUGUGUUUUGAAGCUUAUGAGAAGAUUGAUAAUUCGUAUAUAUUGAAUGAUGAAAAUAGAAUGAGGUACAGAACCUUUAUACAAAUACAAUAGCCAAUUAGGGUGCUGGGAACUAGCCUAAAUGGAUCAUUCCUUAAUAUACACGUCUACAUAAAAGGAAGGAAAUAAACUAAAUAUCUGUACAGAUCAAUGAUUAAUACUCAGAAUCAAUCACGUUGAUUUAGUUGGGAUUUUACGCUCCUCAACACUCCCCUUCAAGUUGGAAUGUAUGUUGAUGAUUCCUAACUUGCUGAGUAAAAUCGCAAAUUGUGGAAGACUCACGGCCUUUGUGAAUAUGUCUGCUGGUUGUUGUAAGGUGGAAAUAUGAGCCGUUUUGAUCAUUCCACUUUGAACCUUUUCUCUCACCAGAUGGCAAUCAAUUUCAAUGUGUUUAGUCCGUUCAUGAAAUACUGGAUCCGAAGCAAUGUGGAGCGCUGCUUGGUUGUCACAAUAUAACUUGACUGCAUGUGAAUGCUUAAUGCCUAAAUCUUGCAAAAUAUAUCGUAACCAAGUAAUUUCGCAACAAGCGGCGGCCAUGGAACGAUAUUCAGCUUCGGCACUAGAUCGGGAUACUGUGGUUUGCUUCUUGGUCUUCCAAGAAACCAAAGAAUUGCCAAGAAAUACACAAUACCCGGUAGUAGAACGUCGAGUAUCACGACAUCGAGCCCAAUCCGCAUCACAAAAAGCAUUUAAUUGAAUUGGACUGUUGGCAGAAAGAAAAAUACCUUGCCCUGGUGCACGUUUGACAUAGCGCAAAACCCGAUAAGCUGCCUCUAGGUGUGGUGUUCGUGGCUUAUCCAUGAACUGGCUUAGAGUGUGAACGGCAUACACCAAGUCAGGCCGGGUAAUUGUCAAAUAGAUCAGCCUCCCCACAAGCCUUCGAUACGAAGACGGAUCAUCAAUGUAGUCGCCAUCAUGUUUGCUAAGGGACAAAUUCUGCUCCAUGGGUGAAAGAGAGAGGAUGUUUGGUACCUUGGGGUUCAAUCGACGCCGAGUUAGAUGAUGGGAGAGACCGGGCAGGUAAUUUUAUGUUGACAUGAUACUGCUGAAGAUAACUGGGCAUGGUGGUACGCCGGGGCAGUGGUGGAGACACCGGUGUGAGAGGAGAUGGAGGUGCUGGAAGCACGAGAUCAGGUGCUGGAAGUGCAAGAUCAGGUGCUGGAAGGGAAAAGGUAGGUGCUGGAAGCGCAAGAGCAGGUGCUGGAAGCUCAGGGGCAGGCGCUGGAAGUGUUUCCAGCGCAAGGUCAGGCGCUGGAAACUGUGAACUAGGAGAAGGAAGUCCAGGAGUUGGGGCAUCAUCAAAAUGGGUGGGAUGAGAAAUUGGGAAGACAAGAGAAGAGUCGGUGGCGGAAGAUGGAAAAGGGAAAGUAGUUUCAUGAAAGAUGACAUCCCGAGAAAUAAAAAUUUUACCCGUAUUGAGAUCAUAAACCCGAUAGCCCUUUGUGCCAUAUGGGUAACCAAGAAAAAUGCAACGUGUGGCCCUAGCAUCAAAUUUGGUUGGACGUAGAUGAUGAGUAGAGGCAAAGCACAAACAACCAAAAACUCUUAAGUGGUCAUAGACUGGGGGUUUUCGAAAAAGGACUUCGUAGGGAGUUUUUUCUUUAAGAACUUGUGUAGGAGUGCGGUUAAUAAGAUAUGUGGCAGUGAGUAUGGCAUCCCCCCAAAAUUUCUUAGGAAGUUUGGCUUGGAAGAGUAAAGCUCGGGCAACAUUGAGAAGAUGUCGGUGUUUUCUUUCGACUACUCCAUUUUGUUGUGGAGUGGAGACACAACUAGUGUGAUGUAAAAUCCCUUUAUCAGAAAAAAAUUGUGUCAUUAGAAACUCAGGUCCAUUAUCACUGCGAACAAUUUUAACAUGGGAAGAGAAUUGUGUUUCAACAAGAUUGAUAAAGGUAGUGAGCUUUUGGCGUGCAUCUGAUUUGUGGUGCAUUAAAUAAACCCAUGUACAUCUGGAGUAAUCAUCUACAAUGGUUAAGAAGUAUUGUGCCUUAGUGAUGGAAGGAACAUGAUAACCACCCCAAAUAUCAACAUGAAUUAAUUCAAAUGGCGCAAGUGAAUUAAUAGAACUCAAAGGAAAAGGAUGGCGAGUUUGUUUAGCUAAAGGACAAACCAAACAAUCAUCAAUGUCACAAAAUUUCAUGUUUUUAACAGAAAGGGAAAGAGCACGUAGGCUUUUAUUUGAAAGAUGACCAAGGCGUUGAUGCCAAAGUUGAGAAGAAGAAGGAACAAGGGCUGAAACGGAAUUGCACCCAGCUGUCUUCGCAGUAUCAAGAUAGUAGAGACCUUCCCUCUCAGUUCCCGUCCCAAUCAUCUUCCCCGAACGUCGGUCCUGAACAAUACAAGAUUCAUUAGUGAACAUGGCAAGACAAGAGGAGCUUUUGGUGAGCUUGCUCACAUAGAUUAAAUUUAAUCUAAAUGAGGGAACACAAAGCACAUUAUGAAGAAUAAAAUCAUCCGAGAAACGGAUAGUGCCGAUGUGGGUGACAUUGACAAUGGCAUGAUCAGGAAGGUACACUUGACGAUUAGAGACUGGAGUGCAUGUAGUCAACAACUUAGGCGAACAAACCAUGUGAUCGGUGGCACCAGUGUCAAAAAUCCAGUUGAGUCCACCAACGAAAGCAGAGGCACAUAAGGUGUUACAUGAAAGAUCGCUGGUGCUGGAAGCAGUGCUAACAUGAUUAGCCAAAACUGUGGGCUUGUUUUGAUUGAGGAGAGCAAGGAAGCUCUGGUAUUGUGCUGCGGUGAGGUUGUAUGUUGGAGGAGCUGCAGUGGCCACAGGAGUGGCAUCAACAUGAUGGACCGAAGGAGAAAAUGACCCCCGACGACCUUGAGAGUCACUGUUGCCGCCAGUGGAUUGAGCCUUCUUCAAUUUGCGGCAUUGGUCAAUAGUGUGCCGACGCCAGCCACAAUAAUCACAUUUAAGAUGUUCUCGACAUGUAUCAGAAGUGUGUCCUGUGGCAUCACAACGUUCACACUUAAGAUGAGGGUUUUUAGGUGAGAAAUUUCUACCAGAAUUUCGAGGACCAUGAACGGCGAAGGCUGCGGCGUCAGUGACUGGUGUUUUCCCGAGGGCAUGAGUAGAAAUUGCUCGUUGCUUUUCAUCUUGGGUGAUAAGGGAAAAAGCUUUGUUGACUGCAGGAAAUGGGUCCAUCAGUAAGAUUUGUCCUCGAACUCCAACGUAUGCGUCAUUUAAUCCCAUAAGAAAUUUCAUGGUCUUUUGGUGCUGGUGGAAUUGGAACAUCUCUUUGGUUGCUCCGCAGUGGCAAGAUGGAAGGGAGCAAAGUGCAUCUCUCGAAUCCCAUAAGCCCUUCAACUUGGUGUAAUAGGCACCGAUGGUCAUGCUUCCUUGAACGCAGUCAUGAAUUUCUUGCUCAAUGUGGAAAAGAUGGACACUAUUAGCGUGAGAGAAUCGUUCCUUUAGAUCAUUCCAUAUGUCGGACGCAACAUCGUUAUAAAUGAUGCUCGCACCAAUAUCCGGGGAGAUGGAAUUGAGGAGCCAGCUCUUGACAAGAUUGUUACACCGUGUCCACUGUUGGAGAGUUGUGGAAGAACCAUGUAGAGGCUUCUUGAGGGUGCCAUCGACGAAACCUUCUUUGUUUUUGGUGUUGAGCGCCAUGAGCAUGGAGCGACUCCAGGUUGGAUAAUUUUCGUCAUUCAGGAGUUGUGUGACAAGGACAACCCCUGGUUGAUCAGAGUGAUGGAGGUAGAGAGGAUCAUUAGGAUCAUCAUAUUUGGGUUGCUCAGGCUGGGCUGAGGCUUGAGAAUCAAUUUUGGGUUGCUCGGGCUUGGCUGAGGCUUGAGGUGAUUCGCUGUCGUUGAUCGCCAUGGAGGUUAGCGAGAGGACAGGCUAGGGUUUGUUUUGUGUAGGUAACCUGGCUCUGAUACCAUGAGAAGAUUGAUAAUUCGUAUAUAUUGAAUGAUGAAAAUAGAAUGAGGUACAUAACCUUUAUACAAAUACAAUAGCCAAUUAGGGUGCUGGGAACUAGCCUAAAUGGAUCAUUCCUUAAUAUACACGUCUACAUAAAAGGAAGGAAAUAAACUAAAUAUCUGUACAGAUCAAUGAUUAAUACUCAGAAUCAAUCACGUUGAUUUAGUUGGGAUUUUAC
RNAcentral lists this long non-coding RNA (4482 nucleotides) under Prunus persica (peach). RNAcentral's name for it is "long non-coding RNA (PPER_LNC001395)". The record is from RNAcentral. Lineage: Eukaryota; Viridiplantae; Streptophyta; Magnoliopsida; Rosales; Rosaceae.